RNAcentral lists this ribosomal RNA (470 nucleotides) under uncultured Geobacillus sp. RNAcentral describes it as "bacterial SSU rRNA". It matches the Rfam family "Bacterial small subunit ribosomal RNA", at positions 916 to 1381 of the family's 1533-position model. The record is from RNAcentral. Lineage: Bacteria; Bacillati; Bacillota; Bacilli; Caryophanales; Anoxybacillaceae.
GACGGGGCCCGCACAAGCGGUGGAGCAUGUGGUUUAAUUCGAAGCAACGCGAAGAACCUUACCAGGUCUUGACAUCCCCUGACAACCCGAGAGAUCGGGCGUUCCCCUUCGGGGGACAGGGUGACAGGUGGUGCAUGGUUGUCGUCAGCUCGUGUCGUGAGAUGUUGGGUUAAGUCCCGCAACGAGCGCAACCCUCGACCUUAGUUGCCAGCAUUCAGUUGGGCACUCUAAGGUGACUGCCGGCUAAAAGUCGGAGGAAGGUGGGGAUGACGUCAAGUCCUCAUGGCCCUUACAUCCCGGGCUACACACGUGCUACAAUGGCAGGUACAGAGGGCUGCGAAGCCGCGAGGUGGAGCGAAUCCCAGAAAACCUGUCUCAGUCCGGAUUGAAGUCUGCAACUCGACUUCAUGAAGGCGGAAUCGCUAGUAACCGCGAAUCAGCAGGUCGCGGUGAAUACGUUCCCGGGCCUU